RNAcentral lists this ribosomal RNA (473 nucleotides) under uncultured organism. RNAcentral describes it as "partial 16S ribosomal RNA". It matches the Rfam family "Bacterial small subunit ribosomal RNA", at positions 332 to 797 of the family's 1533-position model. The record is from RNAcentral.
UACACUCCUGCGGGAGGCAGCAGUGGGGAAUUUUGGACAAUGGGCGAAAGCCUGAUCCAGCAAUGCCGCGUGAGUGAAGAAGGCCUUCGGGUUGUAAAGCUCUUUUGUCAGGGAAGAAACGGUGAAAGCUAAUAUCUUUUGCUAAUGACGGUACCUGAAGAAUAAGCACCGGCUAACUACGUGCCAGCAGCCGCGGUAAUACGUAGGGUGCAAGCGUUAAUCGGAAUUACUGGGCGUAAAGCGUGCGCAGGCGGUUUUGUAAGUCUGAUGUGAAAUCCCCGGGCUCAACCUGGGAAUUGCAUUGGAGACUGCAAGGCUAGAAUCUGGCAGAGGGGGGUAGAAUUCCACGUGUAGCAGUGAAAUGCGUAGAUAUGUGGAGGAACACCGAUGGCGAAGGCAGCCCCCUGGGUCAAGAUUGACGCUCAUGCACGAAAGCGUGGGGAGCAAACAGGAUUAGAAACCCUAGUAGUCCC